GUAUAAACAGGACCCAGCUUUGCGUUAAAGUUGUUUCCAGCUGAAGACUGUUUGAAUGCCCGUUUAAAAAUUCGUUGUCCGACAUAAAAUGUUGAUCAAUACCUACAUCUUCGUCGACAGAUUCUACAGAUUCUUGGAUGGUUGGUCGGAUUCCGAACUUGCGCCAAAAGUCGUAACCGAGAAUGCAACGCCUAUUGAGAUCAGGAGCUACGAGCACAGGCAUCAACCUGGUGAUUCCAUUGAAUGUUAUCGGCAACUCGACUGACCCUAAUACUUCUAAAUGUUGACCUCCGGCCGUGGAUAGAUUGAUGUUGGAAUUGAAGUAACAUUGGCUGCAAGCAUGGCUAUGCGACAAUCUUCCCGCGUGUUCCGGAAUAACAGGUCAAAUUUGCGCUGUUCUUCCCAAGGACGGGAUAAGUUUCGGAAGAUUUUGGCCAUGUCAAGAUAAAAAUCUUGAAAUUUUUCUCUCGGCCCUUGGCGCCGAUUCGCAGCUUGGCGUUCGUAGGCAUAAUCCAUGUCCACAGAUCCAUUCGUAACAAUCGUUCGCACUGGUUACGCGUCAGACUCGCAUCGACAGGAAUCUUUCUAAUAUGCAGCUCGUAUUCAAGCUCGUCUUCGGUCAGGUGAGCCGGAUUCAACG
Long non-coding RNA from Uranotaenia lowii, 640 nucleotides. RefSeq lists it as uncharacterized. The transcript has 4 exons. The record is from RefSeq and is a predicted model, not a curated record. Lineage: Eukaryota; Metazoa; Arthropoda; Insecta; Diptera; Culicidae.